This 782-nucleotide ribosomal RNA is filed under the name uncultured Neocallimastigales. Its description in RNAcentral is "partial large subunit ribosomal RNA". It matches the Rfam family "Eukaryotic large subunit ribosomal RNA", at positions 24 to 645 of the family's 3401-position model. The record is from RNAcentral. Lineage: Eukaryota; Fungi; Neocallimastigomycota; Neocallimastigomycetes; Neocallimastigales.
UAUCUCUGUAGAGUCUGCAUAUCAAUAAGCGGAGGAAAAGGAAACUAACUAAGGAUUCCCUUAGUAACGGCGAGUGAAGCGGGAAGAGCUCAAAUUUGAAAUCUUCAAGGGUUCUACCUUUACGAAUUGUAGUUUAAAGAAGUGUUUUCUGUUGGAGUUUCGGUAAAAGUUCUUUGGAAUAGGACAUCAUAGAGGGUGAGAAUCCCGUAUUUGACCAGUUACUUUCCAGCUGUGUGAUACACCUUCAAAGAGUCGGAUUGUUUGGGAAUGCAGUCCAAAAUGGGUGGUAAAUUUCAUCUAAAGCUAAAUAUUGGCGAGAGACCGAUAGCGAACAAGUACCGUGAGGGAAAGAUGAAAAGAACUUUGAAAAGAGAGUUAAACAGUACGUGAAAUUGUCAAAAGGGAAGCGUUUGACACCAGUGUUGUUUUCUCGAAAAUCAAUUAAAAAGAUGCCGGAUUCUGUGUUGUAUUGACUUUAUCAGCUUUCUGCACUCUUUUCUUGUCUUUUUUAAUGCACUUUUCGUUUAACAAGUCAACAUCAAUUUCUUUUGUUGUAAAAGGUCAUUGGAAGGUGGCUUUCCUCUUCGGUAGAAAGUGUUUAUAGCCUUUGACUUCUGCAAUCGGAGAGAUUGAGGUCUGCAGCGUAGAUCCUUCGGGGUUAGAUACAUUUGUGCUAAGUUAUAGCUUUUCAUAGACAACAUGUUGACUAUGAUUAAGUCAUGUAGCUUACUCGCUUAUGCUAUUUUACCUACGCUUAGGAUGUUGAUCUCUCACAGUCGAGC